UACGGUUACCUUGUUACGACUUCAUCCCAGUCACCAAUCCCACCUUCGGCAGCUCCUUCCCCAAGGGGUUAGGCCACUGACUUCGGGUGUUACCGACUUCCGUGAUGUGACGGGCGGUGUGUACAAGCCCCGAGAACGUAUUCACCGUGGCUUUGCUGAUCCACGAUUACUAGCGACUCCGGCUUCAUGGAGUCGAGUUGCAGACUCCAAUCCGAACUGAGGACGACUUUACGGGAUUGGCUGACCCUCGCGGGAUCGCAGCCCAUUGUAUCGCCCAUUGUAGCAUGCGUGCAGCCCUGGAUAUAAGGGGCAUGAUGACUUGACAUCGUCCUCGCCUUCCUCCGAGUUGUCCCCGGCAGUCUCCCAUGAGUCCCCACCAUUACGUGCUGGCAACAUAGGACAAGGGUUGCGCUCGUUGCGGGACUUAACCCAACAUCUCACGACACGAGCUGACGACAGCCAUGCACCACCUGUCAUGGGCGCUUACGCACACUGUGUUUCCACAGCUAGACCCAUGAUGUCAAACCCAGGUAAGGUUCUUCGGGUUGCAUCGAAUUAAGCCGCAUGCUCCGCCGCUUGUGCGGGGCCCCGUCAAUUCCUUUGAGUUUUAGCCUUGCGGCCGUACUCCCCAGGCGGAACACUUAACGCGUUAGCUACGGCGCAGCAGACGUGAAUCAGUCCGCCACACCUAGUGUUCAU
This 699-nucleotide ribosomal RNA is filed under the name uncultured bacterium. RNAcentral's name for it is "partial 16S ribosomal RNA". The record is from RNAcentral.